ACUCCUACGGGAGGCAGCAGUGGGGAAUAUUGCACAAUGGGCGCAAGCCUGAUGCAGCCAUGCCGCGUGUAUGAAGAAGGCCUUCGGGUUGUAAAGUACUUUCAGCAGUGAGGAAGGCGGGUACGUUAAUAGCGUGCUCGUUUGACGUUAGCUGCAGAAGAAGCACCGGCUAACUCCGUGCCAGCAGCCGCGGUAAUACGGAGGGUCCGAGCGUUAUCCGGAAUUAUUGGGUUUAAAGGGUCCGUAGGCGGGCCGGUAAGUCAGGGGUGAAAGUCUGUAGCUCAACUAUAGAACUGCCUUUGAUACUGCCGGUCUUGAGUCACGGUGAAGUUGCCGGAAUAUGUGGUGUAGCGGUGAAAUGCAUAGAUAUCACAUAGAACACCGAUUGCGAAGGCAGGUGACUAACCGUGUACUGACGCUGAUGGACGAAAGCGUGGGGAGCGAACAGGAUUAGAUACCCUGGUAGGAUAGCG
This 473-nucleotide ribosomal RNA is filed under the name uncultured bacterium. RNAcentral describes it as "bacterial SSU rRNA". It matches the Rfam family "Bacterial small subunit ribosomal RNA", at positions 335 to 799 of the family's 1533-position model. The record is from RNAcentral.